AUUGAACGCUGGCGGCAUGCUUUACACAUGCAAGUCGAACGGCAGCGCGGGCUUCGGCCUGGCGGCGAGUGGCGAACGGGUGAGUAAUACAUCGGAACGUGCCCAGUAGUGGGGGAUAGCUCGGCGAAAGCCGGAUUAAUACCGCAUACGACCUGAGGGUGAAAGCGGGGGAUCUUCGGACCUCGCGCUAUUGGAGCGGCCGAUGGCAGAUUAGCUAGUUGGUGGGGUAAAGGCCUACCAAGGCGACGAUCUGUAGCUGGUCUGAGAGGACGACCAGCCACACUGGAACUGAGACACGGCCCAGACUCCUACGGGAGGCAGCAGUGGGGAAUAUUGGACAAUGGGCGAAAGCCUGAUCCAGCAAUGCCGCGUGUGUGAUGAAGGCCUUCGGGUUGUAAAGCACUUUUGGCGGGAACGAAAAGGACUGUGCCAAUACCACGGUUCGAUGACGGUACCCGAAGAAUAAGCACCGGCUAACUACGUG
This 484-nucleotide ribosomal RNA is filed under the name uncultured bacterium. RNAcentral describes it as "partial 16S ribosomal RNA". It matches the Rfam family "Bacterial small subunit ribosomal RNA", at positions 29 to 507 of the family's 1533-position model. The record is from RNAcentral.